RNAcentral lists this ribosomal RNA (253 nucleotides) under uncultured bacterium. Its description in RNAcentral is "partial 16S ribosomal RNA". It matches the Rfam family "Bacterial small subunit ribosomal RNA", at positions 524 to 776 of the family's 1533-position model. The record is from RNAcentral.
UACAGAGGUGGCAAGCGUUGUUCGGAAUUACUGGGCGUAAAGGGCGCGUAGGCGGUCUUGCAAGUCCUGUGUGAAAUCCCUCGGCUCAACUGAGGAACUGCACAGGAAACUGCUUGGCUUGAGUUCGGGAGAGGGAAGCGGAAUUCCUGGUGUAGCGGUGAAAUUCGUAGAGAUCAGGAAGAACACCAGUGGCGAAGGCGCUCUGCUAGGCCGCAACUGACACUGAGGGACGAAAGCUAGGGGAGCGAAUGGG